AGGUGAACCUGCGGAAGGAUCACUAGUGAUUAAAUCGAGCGUGUCUUCAUUGACCGCUCACCCUUCUCACCAUCCACAUACACCUGUGCACUGUUUAGCCUGAGCCGGUUUUCCGGCCCAGGUUAUCAUUUCAUACAAACUCAAGUCUUAUGAAUGUAAACGUUUUAAUAACAUAAUAAAACUUUCAACAACGGAUCUCUUGGUUCUCG
RNAcentral lists this unclassified non-coding RNA (209 nucleotides) under uncultured fungus. RNAcentral's name for it is "partial contains 18S rRNA, ITS1 and 5.8S rRNA". Lineage: Eukaryota; Fungi. The record is from RNAcentral.